This 468-nucleotide ribosomal RNA is filed under the name uncultured bacterium. RNAcentral describes it as "partial 16S ribosomal RNA". It matches the Rfam family "Bacterial small subunit ribosomal RNA", at positions 28 to 507 of the family's 1533-position model. The record is from RNAcentral.
GACGAACGCUGGCGGCGUGCUUAACACAUGCAAGUCGAACGGAAAGGCCCUGCUUUUGUGCGGUGCUCGAGUGGCGAACGGGUGAGUAACACGUGAGUAACCUGCCCUUGACUUUGGGAUAACUUCAGGAAGCUGGGGCUAAUACCGGAUAGGAGCUCCUGCUUCAUGGUGGGGGUUGGAAAGUUUCGGCGGUUGGGGAUGGACUCGCGGCUUAUCAGCUUGUUGGGGGGGUAGUGGCUUACCAAGGCUUUGACGGGUAGCCGGCCUGGGAGGGUGACCGGCCCCAUUGGGACUGAGAUACGGCCCAGACGCCAACGGGAGGCAGCGGGGGGGAAUAUGGCACAAUGGGCGGAAGCCUGAUGCAGCAACGCCGCGUGCGGGAUGACGGCCUUCGGGUAGUAAACCGCUUUCGCCUGUGACGAAGCGUGAGUGACGGUAACGGGUAAAGAAGCACCGGCUAACUACGUG